GUGAGACUGCCGGUGACAAGCCGGAGGAAGUGGGAUGACGUCAAGUCAUCAUGCCCCUUAUGUCCUGGGCUGCACACGUGCUACAAUGGUCGGUACAAUGGGCUGCGAUGCCGCGAGGCGGAGCGAAUCCCAUAAAACCGGCCCCAGUUCGGAUCGAAGGCUGCAACUCGCCUUCGUGAAGUCGGAGUUGCUAGUAAUCGCGGAUCAGCAUGCCGCGGUGAAUACGUUCCCGGGCCUU
This 238-nucleotide ribosomal RNA is filed under the name uncultured Coriobacteriaceae bacterium. RNAcentral's name for it is "partial 16S ribosomal RNA". It matches the Rfam family "Bacterial small subunit ribosomal RNA", at positions 1143 to 1382 of the family's 1533-position model. The record is from RNAcentral. Lineage: Bacteria; Bacillati; Actinomycetota; Coriobacteriia; Coriobacteriales; Coriobacteriaceae.